UACGGGGGGUGCAAGCGUUAAUCGGAUUUACUGGGCGUAAAGCGCGCGUAGGUGGCCAAUUAAGUCAAAUGUGAAAUCCCCGAGCUUAACUUGGGAAUUGCAUUCGAUACUGGUUGGCUAGAGUAUUGGAGAGGAGGGUAGAAUUCCAGGUGUAGCGGUGAAAUGCGUAGAGAUCUGGAGGAAUACCGAUGGCGAAGGCAGCCAUCUGGCCUAAUACUGACACUGAGGUGCGAAAGCAUGGGGAGCAAACAGG
Molecule: ribosomal RNA, 253 nt
Filed under: uncultured prokaryote
Description: partial 16S ribosomal RNA
Rfam family: Bacterial small subunit ribosomal RNA
Source: RNAcentral